Molecule: ribosomal RNA, 390 nt
Filed under: uncultured bacterium
Lineage: Bacteria
Description: bacterial SSU rRNA
Rfam family: Bacterial small subunit ribosomal RNA
Source: RNAcentral
ACGAACGCUGGCGGCGUGCUUAACACAUGCAAGUCGAGCGGUAAGGCCCUUUCGGGGGUACACGAGCGGCGAACGGGUGAGUAACACGUGGGUGACCCGCCCUCAGCUCUGGGAUAAGCCUGGGAAACCGGGUCUAAUACUGGAUAUGACUCCAUGACGCAUGUUGUGGGGUGGAAAGCCUUGUGCGGCUGAGGAUGGGCCCGCGGCCUAUCAGCUUGUUGGUGGGGUGAUGGCCUACCAAGGCGACGACGGGUAGCCGGCCUGAGAGGGCGACCGGCCACACUGGGACUGAGACACGGCCCAGACUCCUACGGGAGGCAGCAGUGGGGAAUCUUGCGCAAUGGGCGAAAGCCUGACGCAGCGACGCCGCGUGAGGGAUGACGGCCUGGU